RNAcentral lists this long non-coding RNA (388 nucleotides) under Cavia porcellus (domestic guinea pig). RNAcentral describes it as "lncRNA (ENSCPOG00000039320.1)". The record is from RNAcentral. Lineage: Eukaryota; Metazoa; Chordata; Mammalia; Rodentia; Caviidae.
CUCACGGAGUCACAGAGAUGACUCAGCGCAGCCUCCCAAUACCUGAAAAGGGAAUGCUCAGCCGGGCUGGGACAGAGGAGUGGGCACUCUCAGCUGUGUAUGGAAGGACAGCUGCCCGUCGCCCCGCUGGGCACAGGAAUACUCGGUGAACCCACUUGCAUGCUGCUCUUCGGCUUGUGAACAGACACGCGGACCGAUGCCUACAGAUUCUGAGAGGCCUGGUUACUCCUUCCAUGGGCACUGCCGAGGUGUCCUCCUAAAGGCUGCAGCCGUGUGCAUUUUCUGCUAGCAAUGGAAAGACAUCCCUGCUCCCCCACACCCCUCUCAGUACUGGUCUUUGUUUAAUUUUUUAAUUGGUUCCCCUAUUGGAUACUGGAAAGAACUUCGC